This 276-nucleotide ribosomal RNA is filed under the name uncultured bacterium. RNAcentral's name for it is "partial 16S ribosomal RNA". It matches the Rfam family "Bacterial small subunit ribosomal RNA", at positions 524 to 797 of the family's 1533-position model. The record is from RNAcentral.
UACGGGGGGAGCAAGCGUUGUUCGGAUUUACUGGGCGUAAAGGGCGCGUAGGCGGUCGUGACAAGUCACUUGUGAAAUCUCCGGGCUUAACUCGGAACGGUCAAGUGAUACUGUCGGACUAGAGUACAGAAGGGGCAACUGGAAUUCUCGGUGUAGCGGUGAAAUGCGUAGAUAUCGAGAGGAACACCUGCGGCGAAGGCGGCCUUCUGGACAGCCACUGACGCUGAGACGCGAAAGCGUGGGGAGCAAACAGGAUUGAGAUACCUUCGUAGUCAG